This 900-nucleotide ribosomal RNA is filed under the name uncultured bacterium. Its description in RNAcentral is "bacterial SSU rRNA". The stretch from base 1 to 809 matches the Rfam family "Bacterial small subunit ribosomal RNA", at positions 28 to 873 of the family's 1533-position model. The record is from RNAcentral.
GCUGCACGCUGGCGGCGUGCCUUACAACAUGCAAGUCGAACGGAUCUUUAACGCUGAUUAGGCUUCGGCGGAAUCUUGUUAAAUCUUAGUGGCGGACGGGUUGAAUAACGCGUGGGCAACCUGCCUCGUACUGGGGGAAUACAGUUGGAAACGACUGUUAAUACCGCAUAAGCGCACAGAGUCGCAUGACUCAGUGUGAAAAACUCCGGUGGCAUACGAUGGACCCGCGUCUGAUUAGGCAGUUGGCGAGGUAACGGCUCACCAAACCUACGAUCAGUANCCGGACUGAGAGGUCGGACGGCCACAUUGGGACUGAGACACGGCCCAAACUCCUACGGGAGGCAGCAGUGGGGGAUAUUGCACAAUGGANGAAACUCUGAUGCAGCGACGCCGCGUGAGUGAAGAGUAUUUCGUAAUGUAAGCUCUAUCAGCAGGGAAGAAAGACUCGCAAGAGAGAUGACGUAACCUGACUAAGAAGCCCCGGCUAAUUACGUGCCAGCAGCCGCGGUAAUACGUAGGGGGCAAGCGUUAUCCGGAUUUACUGGGUGUAAAGGGAGCGCAGACGGUUAUGCAAUUCUGAAGUGAAACCCCACGGCUCAACCGUGGGCUUGCUUUGGAAACUGUAUAACUAGAGUACUGGAGAGGUAAGCGGAAUUCCUAGUGUAGCGGUGAAAUGCGUAGUGAUUAGGAGGAACAUCGGUGGCGAAGGCGGCUUACUGGACAGCAACUGACGUUGAGGCUCGAAGGCUUGGGGAGCAAACAGGAUGAGAGACCCUGGGAGACCCCUGGAUAUCCAGCACAAUGUCGUCCGUGCCAGAGGAGAGCCGUGCGCGGAUCCAAGCUGGUUGCUGAGCUGGUAGAGGCGAACUCUGAACGAGCCGAUCCGUCUGGGAAUUCCGU